This 370-nucleotide ribosomal RNA is filed under the name uncultured microorganism. RNAcentral's name for it is "bacterial SSU rRNA". It matches the Rfam family "Bacterial small subunit ribosomal RNA", at positions 346 to 703 of the family's 1533-position model. The record is from RNAcentral.
GUGCAGCAGUCGCAAAUCUUUAGCAAUGCCCGAAAGGGUGACUAUGCGACGCCGCGUGAGCGAUGAAGUCCUUCGGGACGUAAAGCUCUGUCAGGUGGGAUGAAUUUUUCGACCUUAACAGGGUUGGAAUUUGACCGUACCACCAGAGGAAGCCACGGCUAAACUCCGUGCCAGCCAGCCGCGGUAAUACGGAGGUGGCAAGCGUUGUUCGGAUUUAUGGGUGUAAAAGGGCAUGUAGGUGUCCUAGUAAGUCCUGGCUGAAAAUCCUUUCGGGCUCAACCGAAGAACGUGUCAGGAAACUGCUGGGAUUGAGUACGGAAGAGGAGAACGGAAUUCCCGGUGUAAGGGUGAAAUCUGUAGAUAUCGGGGA